Molecule: non-coding RNA, 29 nt
Filed under: Homo sapiens (human)
Lineage: Eukaryota; Metazoa; Chordata; Mammalia; Primates; Hominidae
Source: RNAcentral
UUAACAGUCAGGAUUAAUGGAAUUCAUGC